This 506-nucleotide ribosomal RNA is filed under the name uncultured bacterium. Its description in RNAcentral is "partial 16S ribosomal RNA". It matches the Rfam family "Bacterial small subunit ribosomal RNA", at positions 30 to 523 of the family's 1533-position model. The record is from RNAcentral.
AUUGAACGCUGGCGGCAGGCCUAACACAUGCAAGUCGAACGGCAGCACAGAAGAGCUUGCUCUUUGGGUGGCGAGUGGCGGACGGGUGAGUAAUGUCUGGGAAACUGCCCGAUGGAGGGGGAUAACUACUGGAAACGGUAGCUAAUACCGCAUAACGUCGCAAGACCAAAGUGGGGGACCUUCGGGCCUCACACCAUCGGAUGUGCCCAGAUGGGAUUAGCUAGUAGGUGGGGUAAUGGCUCACCUAGGCGACGAUCCCUAGCUGGUCUGAGAGGAUGACCAGCCCCACUGGAACUGAGACACGGUCCAGACUCCUACGGGAGGCAGCAGUGGGGAAUAUUGCAUAAUGGGCGCAAGCCUGAUGCAGCCAUGCCGCGUGUAUGAAGAAGGCCUUCGGGUUGUAAAGUACUUUCAGCGGGGAGGAAGGCGGUGAGGUUAAUAACCUUGCCGAUUGACGUUACCCGCAGAAGAAGCACCGGCUAACUCCGUGCCAGCAGCCGCCGUAA